RNAcentral lists this ribosomal RNA (8055 nucleotides) under Triticum aestivum (bread wheat). Its description in RNAcentral is "partial small subunit ribosomal RNA". Lineage: Eukaryota; Viridiplantae; Streptophyta; Magnoliopsida; Poales; Poaceae. The record is from RNAcentral.
GAAAUGCUACAGAGCUCCCACUCACUUUCUUGUAAACGCAGGCUUCUCCAUAAGUCUGCGUAAAUCCAAACGCUUUGAUCAUCUCAUCAAAGCGAAUGUUCCAACUCCGAGAUGCUUGCACCAGCCCAUAAAUCGAGCGUUGGAGCUUGCACACCUUGUCAGCAUUCUUAGGAUCGACAAAACCUUUCGGCUGCAUCAUAUACAAUUCUUCCUUAAGGAAACCAUUAAGGAAUGCCGUUUUGACGUCCAUUUGCCAUAUCUCAUAAUCAUAGUAUGCGGCAACUGCUAACAUUAUUCGGACGGACUUCAGCUUCGCUACCGGUGAGAAAGUCUCAUCGUAGUCAACCCCUUGAACUUGUCGAUAACCCUUAGCGACAAGCCGAGCUUUAAAGAUGGUCACAUUACCAUCCGCGUCUGUCUUUUUCUUAAAGAUCCAUUUAUUUUCUAUGGCUCGUCGCUCAACAGGCAAGUCAGUCAAAGUCCACACUUCGUUUUCAUACAUGGAUCCUAUCUCGGAUUUCAUGGCUUCUAGCCAUUUGUCGGAAUCCGGGUCCGCCAUCGCUUCUUCAUAGUUCGAAGGUUCAUCGUUGUCUAACAACAUGAUUUCCAAGACAGGGUUGCCGUACCACUCUGGUGCGGAACGUGUCCUUGUGGACCUACGAAUUUCAGUAGGAGCUUGAUCAGAAGUAUCUUGAUCAUCAUCAUUAACUUCCUUUCUAGUCGGUGCAGGCACCUCAGGAACAUUUUCUUGAGUUGCGCCCUUUUCUGGUUCAAGAGGUAGUACUUCAUCAAGUUCUACUUUUUUCCCACUCACUUCUUUCGAGAGAAACUCCUUCUCUAGAAAGGAUCCAUUCUUGGCAACAAAGAUCUUGCUUUCGGAUCUGAGGUAGAAGGUAUACCCAAUGGUUUCUUUAGGGUAUCCUAUGAAGACGCAUUUUUUCGACUUGGGUUCGAGCUUUUCAGGUUGAAGUUUCUUGACAUAAGCAUCGCAUCCCCAAACUUUUAGAAACGAUAACUUAGGUUUCUUCCCAAACCAUAAUUCAUACGGUGUCGUCUCAACGGAUUUCGACGGAGCCCUAUUUAAAGUGAAUGCGGCAGUCUCUAAAGCAUAGCCUCAAAAUGACAGUGGUAAAUCGGUAAGAGACAUCAUAGAUCGCACCAUAUCUAAUAGAGUGCGAUUACGACGUUCGGACACACCAUUACGCUGAGAUGUUCCAGGCGGCGUGAGUUGUAAAACUAUUCCACAUUUUCUUAAGUGUGUGCCAAAUUCAUGACUCAAGUAUUCUCCUUCACGAUCUAAUCACAAAAACUUGAUUUUUCUAUCACGUUGAUUCUCAACCUCACUCUGAAAUUUCUUGAACUUUUCAAAGGUCUCAGACUUGUGUUUCAUUAAGUAGACAUAUCCAUAUCUACUCAAGUCAUCAGUGAGGGUGAGAACAUAACGAUAGCCACCGCGAGCCUCAACACUCAUUGGACCGCACACAUCAGUAUGUAUGAUUUCCAAUAAGUUGGUUGCUCGCUCCAUUGUUUCUGAGAACGGAGUCUUGGUCAUUUUACCCAUGAGGUAUGGUUCGCACGUGUCAAAUGAUUCAUAAUCAAGAGACUCUAAAAGUCCAUCUGCAUGGAGCCUCUUCAUGCGUUUGACACCUAUGUGACCAAGGCGGCAGUGCCACAAGUAUGUGGGACUAUCAUUAUCAACCUUACAUCUUUUGGUACUCACACUAUGAACAUGUGUAGCAUUACGCUCGAGAUUCAUUAAGAAUAAACCAUUCACCAUCGGAGCAUGACCAUAAAACAUAUCUCUCAUAUAAAUAGAGCAACCAUUAUUCUCGGAUUGAAAUGAGUAGCCAUCUUGAAUUAAACGAGAUCCCGAUACAAUGUUCAUGCUCAAAGCUGGCACUAAAUAACAAUUAUUAAGGUUUAAAACUAAUCCCGAAGGUAAAUGUAGAGGUAGCGUGCCGACGGCGAUCACAUUGACCUUGGAACCAUUCCCGACGCGCAUCACCACCUUGUCCUUUGCCAGUCUCCGCUUAUUCCGCAGCCCCUGCUUUGAGUUACAAAUGUGAACAACUGCACCGGUAUCAAAUACCCAGGAGCUACUACGAGUACUGGUAAGGUACACAUCAAUUACAUGUAUAUCACAUAUACCUUUUGUUUUGCCGGCCUUCUUGUCCGCUAAGUAUUUGGGGCAGUUUCGCUUCCAGUGACCACUUCCCUUGCAAUAAAAGCACUCAGUCUCGGGCCUGGGUCCAUUCUUUGGCUUCUUCCCGGCAGCUUGCUUGCCGGGCGCGGCAACUCCCUUGCCGUCCUUCUUGAAGUUCUUUUUACCCUUGCCCUUCUUGAACUUAGUGGUUUUAUUCACCAUCAAUACUUGAUGUUCCUUCUUGACUUCUACUUCUGCUGAUUUCAGCAUUGAAAAUACUUCAGGAAUGGUCUUUUCCGUCCCCUGCAUAUUGAAGUUCAUCACAAAGCUCUUGUAGCUUGGUGGAAGCGACUUGAGGAUUCUGUCAAUGACCGCAUCAUCCGGGAGAUUAACUCCCAGCUGAGUCAAGCGGUUAUGUAACCCAGACAUAGUGAGUAUGUGCUCACUGACAGAACUAUUCUCCUCCAUCUUACAGCUGAAGAACUUGUCGGAGACUUUAUAUCUCUCGACCCGGACAUGAGCUUGAAAAACCAUUUUCAGCUCUUCGAACAUCUCAUAUGCUCCAUGUCUCUCAAAACGCUUUUGGAGCCCCGGCUCUAAGCUGUAAAGCAUGCCGCACUGAACGAGGGAGUAGUCAUCAACACGUGUCUGCCAAGCGUUCGUAACGUCUUGGUUCUGUGGGACGGGUGUGUCACCUAGCGGUGCUUGUAGGACAUAUUCUUUCUUGGCAGCUAUGAGGAUGAUCCUCAGGUUUCGGACCCAGUCCGUAUAGUUGCCGCCAUCGUCUUUCAGCUUGGUUUUCUCUAGGAACGCGUUGAAGUUGAGGACUACAUUGGCCAUUUGAUCUACAAGACAUAUUGUAAAGAUUUAGACUAAGUUCAUGAUAAUUAAGUUCAUCUAAUCAAAUUAUUCAAUGAACUCCCACUUAGAUAGACAUCCCUCCAGUCAUCUAAGUAUAACAUGAUCCGAGUUAACUAGGCCGUGUCCGAACAUCACGUGAGACGGACUAGUCAACAUCGGUGAACAUCUUCAUGUUGAUCGUAUCUUCUAUACGACUCAUGCUCGACCUUUCGGUCUUCUGUGUUUCGAGGCCAUGUCUGUACAUGCUAGGCUCGUCAAGUCAACCUAAGUGUUUGCAUGUGUAAAUCUGUCUUACACCCGUUGUAUGUGAACGUCGGAAUCUAACACACCCGAUCAUCACGUGGUGCUUCGGAACAACGAACUGUCGCAACGGUGCACAGUUAGGGGAAACACUUUCUUGAAAUUAUUAUGAGGGAUCAUCUUAUUUACUACCGUCGUUCUAAGUAAACAAGAUGCAAAACAUGAUAAACAUCACAUGCAAUCAAAUAAUAAUAGUGACAUGAUAUGGCCAAUAUCACAUAGCUCCUUUGAUCUCCAUCUUGGGGCUCCAUGAUCAUCUUGUCACCGGCAUGACACCAUGAUCUCCAUCAUCAUGAUCUCCAUCAUCGUGUCUCCAUGAAGUUGCUUGCCAACUAUUACUUCUACUACUAUGACUAACGCGUUUAGCAAUAAAGUAAAGUAAUUUACAUGCCGUUUCUCAAUGACACGCAGGUCAUACAAAAAAUAAAGACAACUCAUAUGGCUCCUGCCGGUUGUCAUACUCACCGACAUGCAAGUCGUGAUUCCUAUUACAAUAGCAUGAACAUCUCAUACAUCACAUAUAUAUCAUUCAUCAUUCAUCACAACUUUGGCCAUAUCACAUCACAAAACACUUGCUGCAAAAACAAGUUAGACGUCCUCUAAUUGUUGUUGCAAGUUUUACGUGGCUGCAAUAGGGUUCUAGCAAGAACGUUUUCUUACCUACGUGAAAGCCACAACUUGAUUUGUCAACUUCUAUUUACCCUUCAUAAGGACCCUUUUCAUCGAAUCCGCUCCAACUAAAGUAGGAGAGACAGACACCCGCCAGCCACCUUAUGCAACUAGUGCAUGUUAGUCGGUGGAACCGGUCUCACGUAAGCGUACGUGUAAGGUUGGUCCGGGCCGCUUCAUCCCACAAUACCGUUGAAGCAAGAUAAGACUAGUAGCGGCAAGAAAGUUGACAACAUCUACGCCCACAACAAAUUGUGUUCUACUCGCGCAAGAAGAACUACGCAUAGACCUAGCUCAUGAUGCCACUGUUGGGGAACGUUGCAGAAAACAAAAAAAUUUCUACGAUUUCACCAAGAUCCAUCUAUGAGUUCAUCUAGCAACGAGUGAUUAGAUUGCAUCUACAUACCUUUGUAGAUCACGCGCGGAAGCGUUCAAAGAUCGGGGAUGAGGAAGUCGUACACAACGUGAUCCAAAUCACCGGAGAUCCUAGCGCCGAACGGACGACACCUCCGCGUUCAACACACGUACGGUCAGCGUGACGUCUCCUCCUUCUUGAUCCAGCAAGGGGGAAGGAGAGGUUGAUGAAGAUCCAGCAGCACGACGGCGUGGUGGUGGAUGCAGGGCGUCACAGUAGUAGGGCUUCGCCGUAUACUACGUGAGAGAGAGGUGCAGCAGGGGAGAGGGAGGCGCCAAAGGCUCAAGGGUGCGGCUGCCCCCUCCCUCCCCUUCAUAUAUAUAGGCUCCCCUAGGGGGGGCGCCGGCCCUAGGAGAUGAGAUCUCCUAGGGAGGGCGGCGGCCAGGGCUGGAGUGGCCCCCAAGGCAAGGUGGGGCGCCCCCCACCCCUGGGGUUUCAACCCUAGGCACAUGGGGUGGGCCUAGGGGGGCGCACCAGCCCACUAUGGGCUGGUUCCCCUUCCCACUUUGGCCCAUGGGGCCUUCCGGGAUGGGUGGCCCCACCCGGUGGACCGCCGGACCCUUCCGGUGGUCCCGGUACAAUACCGGUGACCCCGAAACUUGUCCCGAUGGCCGAAACAGCACUUCCUAUAUAUAAUACUUUACCUCCGGACUAUUCUGAAACUCCUCGUGACGUCCGGGAUUUCAUCCGGGACUCCGAACAACAUUCGGGUUACUGCAUAUACAUAUCUUCACAACCCUAGCGUCACCGAACCUUAAGUGUGUAGACCCUACGGGUUCGGGAGACAUGCAGACAUGACCGAGACGACUCUCCGGUCAAUAACCAACAGCGGGAUCUGGAUACCCAUGUUGGCUCCCACAUGCUCCACGAUGAUCUCAUCGGAUGAACCACGAUGUCGAGGAUUCAAGCAACCCCGUAUUCAAUUCCCUUUGCCAGUCGGUAUGUUACUUGCCCGAGAUUCGAUCGUCGGUAUCCCAAUACCUCGUUCAAUCUUGUUACCGACAAGUCACUUUACUCGUAUCGUAAUGCAUGAUCCCGUGACCAGACACUUGGUCACUAUGAGCUCAUAAUGAUGAUGCAUUACCGAGUGGGCCCAGUGAUACCUCUCCGUCAUACGGAGUGAUAAAUCCCAGUCUUGAUCCGUGUCAACCCAACAGAUACUUUCGGAGAUACCCGUAGUAUACCUUUAUAGUCAACCAGUUACGUUGUGACGUUUGGUACACCCAAAGCACUCCUACGGCAUCCAGGAGUUACACGAUCUCAUGGUCUAAGGAAAGGAUACUUGACAUUGGAAAAACUCUAGCAAACGAACUAUACGAUCUUGUGCUAUGUUUAGGAUUGGGUCUUGUCCAUCACAUCAUUCUUCCAAUGAUGUGAUCUCGUUAUCAAUGACAUCCAAUGUCCAUAGUCAGGAAACCAUGACUAUCUGUUGAUCAACGGGCUAGUUAACUAGAGGCUUACUAGGGACAUGUUGGUGUCUGUUAUUCACACAUGUAUUACGAUUUCCGGAUAACACAAUUAUAGCAUGAAUAAAGACAAUUAUCAUGAACAAGGAAAUAUAAUAAUAAUAAUGCUUUUAUUAUUGCCUCUAGGGCAUAUUUCCAACACUUGGAUGGUCAUUCUUGUUGAAUGAUAACCAGGGCAGCUCCACUGUAUAAACAGAUUAAUCUGGUGACAAGAGAUGGCGGGGGUAGAUUAUAUGAUCGAGGAAAGGCAAAUCUGAGCCCACUAUGCAUUGAACCCUGAACCCUUUCUAUUUGUAUUUAAAGGUGUUGCUUAUUUAUGCUCUAGUGUUUAUAGUCGUCUUAUGUGAAUAUUUCUUCUCUCUCAUACCUUUAUUGCAUAUAAGUUGUUCUUGACUUUUAUUGUUUGUUGUUGGUCCUUGAUUUCAUCUGGUUAAGAGUAAGCAAGUUGUCGGUUCAAUGGCUUGUUUUAAUUUGUUGAUAAACCAGCAGAAACCACGGUGUCAUGUUUCUAAUAACAGCGUCUUUAGGCUGGUUAAUGUCUGUAUUGGAGACCAUUACCUUUUAUUUGGCUUGUUUCUUACCAUCUUCCUUGCUUCUCUGGCUGUUUCAUGGUUGGGACGGUGGCGUGGCGUUGGGGCUGUCUUGCGGGUUGGCCGGAGAGAGAGCACACCGAGUGGGCUUCUAAGAUGGCUGAGGGAUUUGUCUAGGGUUUUCUGGUUAAUCCAUUCUGAUUUUGGUCUGCUCAUGCUCUUGGCUUCCGGACCGUGGUGCUCAAGGUGACUCGGCUUUCUUUUCCCUCGGUUCGCCUGCAGUUGAGAUUCCUCCAUCCUUACUACACUGCCUAUGGUUUCUUAGAAGUAAUGGGAAAUGACGAGCUCCUACUUUUUAUGCCAGCUCUAUGACGUAGGUUUGUGUGAGGUGGUCCUUAUGAAGUACAUCGACAAGGCAGAUGGAUUACGCGACUUAUUAGUAUGCUUAGUGAUAAUGGCUCCGUAGUUGCUCUUUUUAAUAUAUUCCUGUUCUUAUUACCUCUUAUGUGUUUUUGCUUUGGUAUCGAACUUCAUGUCGAAUGUCUAUCUUUUGUGUUCGUAUGAACGCACCGAGCUUGAUCCUGCCUUAUAAACUGAUGUUGAUCUUGUACUCCAUUGUGUUUUACUUUUAUCACAAUACAAGCGCGGCGGAGGAGCUGUCUUCUGAGUUGACCGGAGAGGGAGCACAUUGGAGAGGCUUCUGAGAUGGCCAAGGGUUUACUGAUCGAUCCAUCCUGAUUGGGAUCUGUUUGUGGUCCUGGUUGACUGGCUGGUGCGUCGUGCCGUUGCUGGUGCUUGAGGUUGUCUCGCUGGUUUCCUUGCAGUAUCGUCGAUCUGUGCAUCCAGGCACCCCAAGCUUUUCCUCGCGCGAUGGCAUCAGGCGCACGGAGGGAGCUCUUCUCCGUUGAUGUGGUGAACAACGACCGUGAUCUCCGUUCCACGGCGUCACCGGCUAGCAAGUCAACACACAACACGAUUGUAGAGUGGUAAGUCCAGGCACCCCAAGCCUGUCCACGGUGCCACCAAUGAACAAGGCCGAGACAAGCAUCGUAAGGAUCCAGUUAGAAUGAUGACUGAUAUCCUGUUAGAGCAUCUUGGGCUUCACAAGGCCAUCUGAGACUCGGGAUCGAUGAGGCAUUUGACAUGAUAAACAAGUGUCAAAGGUUACUUGUAUGAUCUGAGAUACAUGAGCUCCUUCUCAGAUCAGCUUCAUAAUGUGAUAGCACAUGGCUUUCCUCCUGCCCGUGUCGUGGAUACAUUGACAAACGUGACCCUUAUGAAUAUUGAAGUGAUGGCACAUAACCUUAAGAGCAGAAGCAAUCAUCUGUAGAAGAGGCUGCAUGCCAUAAAAAGACAGUCUUUAGGCGCAACAGCAUGAGGUGUUUGCACCAACUGAUUUCUUCACACCAAGGCCAUGGCGUUGAUCAUCUAUGGACAUCACAGAUCACCUAUUCUAACUCUGGCAAGUACGAGAUGAUAUAUGAUGCCACCAGCUCCUGUGAUGUACCGUGUAAACUACUGUGUGAUCUCCCUCUCAUUUUGUGAACACGUCCCCUUCGACACGUCUAUUCAUACUUUUGCACUCAAUAUUUAUGUGUAUGAACAUUGCAUCCUUUAAUUUACCCUGUAUAUGAACAUUACAUCCUUCAAAUGUGGUGUACUAUAUUUUGG